ACCGCAUUACUAGAGUCGAGUUGCUCGGGAUUGCAGCUCAAAGUUGAUGGUAAAUUCCAACUAAGGCUAAACACGAGUGGGGAGAUCGAUCGCGAACGAGCACUGUGAAGGAAAGAUAAAAAUAACUUUGAUAAGAGAGCAAAGAGUGCCUGAAAUUACUGAGAGGUAGUCCAUGU
This 176-nucleotide ribosomal RNA is filed under the name Octactis speculum. RNAcentral describes it as "partial Eukaryotic large subunit ribosomal RNA". It matches the Rfam family "Eukaryotic large subunit ribosomal RNA", at positions 250 to 425 of the family's 3401-position model. The record is from RNAcentral. Lineage: Eukaryota; Dictyochophyceae; Dictyochales; Dictyochaceae.